ACUAUUUUUUAUUAUUCAGUGAAAGAAUAAGAAAUAUAGAAGCAACCGAAGAAGAAAAACAAAAAUUAUUAAGAGAAAGAAUGAUAAAGAAAGAGAGUGGUACUUCAUUUGUUCCAACCAACAUGGCUGUCAAUUUUGUUCAGCACAACAGAUUCAAUAUUGAAGAAACUGACAUUCCCAAACCAAAACGACAGAA
Long non-coding RNA from Centruroides sculpturatus (bark scorpion), 196 nucleotides. RefSeq lists it as uncharacterized. Lineage: Eukaryota; Metazoa; Arthropoda; Arachnida; Scorpiones; Buthidae. The transcript has 2 exons. The record is from RefSeq and is a predicted model, not a curated record.